ACUGACAGAAGCAUGAAGCCACCACCAAGACUUAAACAUGGUGGUCACUGGAACCUCCAUCUCCUUUUUCUGUUUCUGCCUGGUACCAAGCAGUUUAAUCCUGCCUUAUCCCCAGUGAUCCCCAUGAGGUCCCUCAGGCUGAUUCUCUAGGUUAAUAUGGUGGAGAUCAUGCUUACUGUAGUAGAGAAAGGAGGUGACAAGCUGAAUCCAGUGGCAGUGUUGGAAAGCUUCCCGAAUCACACUUGACCCAGGCUUCUCCAGAGAAGAUGGACAGAGGGAAAGGAGGUGCUGGCACCAGGAAAACCUGGGCUAUCCACAGGCAUGAUUACUGAUCAGCACAUGCACCUUGGUGGUCCUUUGCUCCUGGGAGGUCAUCUUAUUGAUGCAGAACUUAGGGCUGACAGUCAUCAGCAUAGAGGACCACCGUCUUGAAUUCCUGGGCUCCAGUGAUCCUUUUGCCUGAACCAACCAAGCAGAUGGGAUUAUGAUGUAUGCCACCAUACCUGGUUCAAAAAAUUAUCUUUAAAAUGCUGAUAAACACACACUUAUGAUAAUAAUAACAAUAACAACAACAACAUAAGCAAUGUUACUAACACGUAAGGGACUAGAAAGUUCUCCCAGACAGAAGGGUGAAGAGUCAGCUGUAAAGAUAAAAAUUUCUUUUGAAACUGUGUCCUAGAACCCUUCUAGUCACUUGCAGUCACUUGCUGAGUAAACAAGUGUGAUUUCCAUGUAUCCUGGUCACACUGAGGGAAGAGAUUGCUGGGAAGUAGCCAGUUCUCAAUGGGGAGUAUGUAAAGAGGAAAGAAAACAGAAGUUAGGGCUUUUAAGAAUACUUAAAAUUGCUUCCUUGUUUUUGAUUUUUUAAAAUUUCCAUUUCUAAACAUAAUUGAUAUUACUUGAACCCUGCUGCUCUCUUUGAUUAAAGGAGAAAAGAUUAAUUGCUGCACUUUGCACCUCACUAGAUACUUCCUGGGAUAUCCUGUUUUCUCUUAACUAGUUAUUUAAUAAUCCAAUUAAAAAUCAGUAGAAUUAUGAGUUAUGUAGGAUAAAGUCUGAAGAAGUCUUGAAUUUGCUUUAAAAUACUUUACCAACAAAAAGAAAGAAGAAGAGGGUAAGAUGAAGCCAGAAUGGUAAAAUGAUAAUUUUUAAUCUGAGGGGUGCACGUAUAAGUAUUCAUUAUACUAAUCUCUCUACUUUUGUAAAUGUUUGAAAUUUUUACAUAAUAAGAUUAAAAGAAAUAGUUACAUAGAAGGCAAUUUCAAGGUCUUAUUUUUAUUUAUUAAUAAUAUUCAUUAAUUAAUUAAUUUGUAGUGCUGGGAAUGGAACAUAGGGGCCUUGUACAUGUGAGACCAGGGCUCUACCACUGAUAACUAUUCUUUUUCUUUUGAACUCUAUUUCCAAAAUUCUUCACUAGCUCUUUCCCACAACUCACCAAACUCUUCUUGCCCUCAUACCUCAGUCUUAGAGUUAGCCUUAAACACACUUUUUCUUCACACUGUUAUUCUUUUAUUGAUGUACUUGAAUGAAAAAAAAAAAAAAAAGUUAUGUAGGAUUCAAGAGAAAAGGACUCUUAGAUCAAAAAGAAUCUAAGAAGAACAAACACCAGGGAUGAUGGUAAGCAAAGACGGAAGACAAAGGAAUGAGCUCUCUUCUAUGUGCCAAGGCAGUAUUAUGGGUAUUUUACACGUAAUAAGUAAGACAUUCUAGACGGUCUCCCUUCCCCUUCCUCCUCCUCCUGCUCCUCCUCCUCUGGUUUUAUUUUCCAGGGCUGGGAAUCAAAUUCAGGGCUUUAAGUAUGCCCGGGGAAGUUCUCUACCACUAAGCCACACCCAGCCCACUUCUUUAUUUCUUGGAGAGUCACUAGAAGAGUCCUUUACUUUUCUUUCUAUAAAUUUAAGGCAGGCAGAAGCCCUUACUCUGUAAGGAGGGUACAGCAAAGGUCCAUCCUGACUCCAUCAUGGUUUUCACUCACUGAGGGUGUAAAGCUGGCUACUGGGGCCAAGGUAGAUUGAUUUGCCUAAGGAGCUGACAGCUUUCUGGGAGAGGAAAAAAAAAUCCUAAAUAUUCUCUACAGAGAUAUCAUACUCCCUCUUUUAGACAUGAAAUUAGAGAAUAAUGCUGAGACAGAAAAGGUAGGCUCUUUCACCCAAGGACCAGUGGUAGGAAUGGGCAGUAUGUCUCCUAAGAUUACUGUAGAGAAAGUUUAUCCCUACUGGUAACUCUAAAUCAUGGCACUCAAACCAUGCAAAACUAAGUAGAAUAAUAAAUAUUUUUCUACUCUUUUUCAACAUAAAGAAUUAAUUAGACCAGGUGUUCAAUCCCAGCAACUCAGGAAACUGAGGCAGGAAGUUGGCAAUUUGAGGCCAGUUUAGGAAACGUAGUGAAAUCCUGCCUCAGAAUAAAAAACAGAAAGGGUUGGGAA
Long non-coding RNA from Sciurus carolinensis (gray squirrel), 2425 nucleotides. RefSeq lists it as uncharacterized. Lineage: Eukaryota; Metazoa; Chordata; Mammalia; Rodentia; Sciuridae. The transcript has 3 exons. The record is from RefSeq and is a predicted model, not a curated record.